Molecule: long non-coding RNA, 212 nt
Filed under: Elaeis guineensis (African oil palm)
Lineage: Eukaryota; Viridiplantae; Streptophyta; Magnoliopsida; Arecales; Arecaceae
Description: long non-coding RNA (EGUI_LNC037022)
Source: RNAcentral
AAGUACCAUGGAAUGUGUAUGGGUGGGUUGGGCAGGUGGGUCAGGGGAGGUUUUGUCUUGCUGGGAGCUAGUUGUAGGGGAAGGCGUAGGAAGGAAAGGUUUUGCUGAUGAGGAAUUGCAAUAGAGGUCAGUAAGUAAUCUGGUCCGAACAGGUGCAGAGUCGUUAAUGCUAAAAGGGCUUGGAGUGGGAUCGGUCAUAGGAGAAGGUGUUG